AGAGUUUGAUCAUGGCUCAGGAUGAACGCUAGCUACAGGCUUAACACAUGCAAGUCGAGGGGAAACGAUAUUGGAAGCUUGCUUCCGAUAGGCGUCGACCGGCGCACGGGUGAGUAACGCGUAUCCAACCUGCCCACCACUUGGGGAUAACCUUGCGAAAGUAAGACUAAUACCCAAUGAUAUCUCUAGAAGACAUCUGAAAGAGAUUAAAGAUUUAUCGGUGAUGGAUGGGGAUGCGUCUGAUUAGCUUGUUGGCGGGGUAACGGCCACAGGCGACGAUCAGUAGGGGUCUGAGAGGAAGGUCCCCCANAUUGGAACUGAGCAACGGUCCAAACUCCUACGGGAGGCA
This 349-nucleotide ribosomal RNA is filed under the name uncultured bacterium. RNAcentral's name for it is "bacterial SSU rRNA". It matches the Rfam family "Bacterial small subunit ribosomal RNA", at positions 8 to 350 of the family's 1533-position model. The record is from RNAcentral.